GGCACAGCUCUCACACACUCUGGGAGUCCAGACAGCCCCGAGCGUGCUGGGCGCAGGGGUGGGGGGCGGGGGGAGAGCAAAGAAACUCUGUGCCCGUUGCCAGCAGCCAAGGAAGGAUGUGUCUGCCAAACAAGCGUAGCGGUAAUUAAAACGUGACGGCAGCUAUCGCCAAGAACUCCUCCCACGCCCGGUCAAGGGCGGCACGAGGUGUCACAGUCGCGGGCAGGGGCCCGCCCGUGCUCCCACCAGGCAGGUGUCCGCGUCUGCAUCGCCGCUCCCAAUGCCGGGACCCACAGCCAGGUGUGGGUUUGGAACAGGAGCCCUUGAACG
Molecule: long non-coding RNA, 330 nt
Organism: Leopardus geoffroyi (Geoffroy's cat)
Lineage: Eukaryota; Metazoa; Chordata; Mammalia; Carnivora; Felidae
Exons: 2
Source: RefSeq, a predicted model, not a curated record